AGAACCCUGCUGUGUGCGUGAAGUCUCACCUAGUGUUUUGAGCCAACACCUAAUAGACGGGGGCCUGGCACUGCUGGGGCUGUAGUAACCCUUCGGGGUCAGGCAUUAACCAGCGGGCUGGCUCCCACCUGCGUGAGCAGGUUCAAAACUCAUUGAGACGCACGGCACAGCGGGGUAUCU
RNAcentral lists this non-coding RNA (180 nucleotides) under Chloroflexota bacterium. Its description in RNAcentral is "Chloroflexi bacterium (oil production facility metagenome) 6S RNA". It matches the Rfam family "6S / SsrS RNA". From Rfam's summary of the family: E. coli 6S RNA was the first non coding RNA to be sequenced, but its function was unknown until recently. It consists of 184 nucleotides that fold into an extended hairpin structure with a large single-stranded internal bulge. The 6S RNA specifically associates with RNA polymerase holoenzyme containing the sigma70 specificity factor. The record is from RNAcentral. Lineage: Bacteria; Bacillati; Chloroflexota. RNAcentral also lists the same sequence under 1 other name.